Molecule: ribosomal RNA, 630 nt
Filed under: uncultured Russulaceae
Lineage: Eukaryota; Fungi; Basidiomycota; Agaricomycetes; Russulales; Russulaceae
Description: LSU rRNA
Rfam family: Eukaryotic large subunit ribosomal RNA
Source: RNAcentral
UAAGCGGAGGAAAAGAAACUANCNNGGAUUCCCCUAGUAACUGCGAGUGAAGCGGGAAAAGCUCAAAUUUGGAAUCUGGUGGUCUUUGGCCAUCCGAGUUGUAAUUUAGAGAAGCGUCUUCCGCGCUGGACCGUGCACAAGUCUCCUGGAAUGGAGCGUCAUAGAGGGUGAGAAUCCCGUCUUUGGCAUGGAAUCNCAGGGCUUCUGUGAUGCGCUCUCGACGAGUCGAGUUGUUUGGGAAUGCAGCUCAAAAUGGGUGGUGAACUCCAUCUAAAGCUAAAUAUUGGUGAGAGACCGAUAGCGAACAAGUACCGUGAGGGAAAGAUGAAAAGCACUUUGGAAAGAGAGUGAAACAGUACGUGAAAUUGUUGAAAGGGAAACGCUUGAAGUCAGUCGCGUCGACCGAGACUCAGCCUUGCCUCGGCUUGGUGUACUUCUCGGCUUGACGGGUCAGCAUCGAUUUCAAUCCUCGGAUAAUGGCAAGGGAAAGGUAGCACCUUUUUAGGUGUGUUAUAGUCCUCUGUCGCAUGCGAGGGUCGGGAUCGAGGAACUCAGCACGCACCUCAGGGUGUCGGGGCCUUGGCCCACGUUUACGUGCUUAGGAUGCUGGCGUAAUGGCUUUAAACGACC